AGGCUCGUAGCUCAGUUGGUUAGAGCACUACCUUGACAUGGUAGGGGUCGCUGAUUCGAAUUCAGUCGAGCCUA
RNAcentral lists this transfer RNA (74 nucleotides) under Polynucleobacter kasalickyi. Its description in RNAcentral is "Polynucleobacter sp. VK13 tRNA". It matches the Rfam family "tRNA". Rfam says of the family: Transfer RNA (tRNA) molecules are approximately 80 nucleotides in length. Lineage: Bacteria; Pseudomonadati; Pseudomonadota; Betaproteobacteria; Burkholderiales; Burkholderiaceae. The record is from Rfam by way of RNAcentral.